Phascolarctos cinereus (koala) is the source of this 1844-nucleotide non-coding RNA. The record is from RefSeq and is a predicted model, not a curated record. NCBI's taxonomy places the organism in Eukaryota, Metazoa, Chordata, Mammalia, Diprotodontia, Phascolarctidae.
CAUCUGGCCCCUUCCUACCUUUGCAGCCUUUCCUCAAUUCCAGGCAGAAUAUACUAUCAGAGACUUGCAGCUGGAAAGGACCUCAGCUCUCCUUCCUUAUAACCCCUCCCAGAGGAGGGAUGCUUUCUCCACAAUACAGCUGGUUAAAGGGCUGGGAUUUAAGAAGACCCUGAAGGACCACAAAGAUUUUCAUAUCAUUUGACACAUAUCAUGUUAACUGAUGCUCUGCCAGAAGCCCUCCAGGAGAACUGAUCUCACUACCUGCUAUCCUUUGUCCUUUGUUAAUUCCUAUGGUGAUGCUGCUCUCUCUGUCUCCACAGCAGACCUGGAAGCUCACUACAGCCUCGCAAUGGUGGAGCAUUUAAGGAGGCUCCCAGGCCCGCCACAUUCCAGUCCUCUCUGGGCUCUCACUUAGGACUUUACCAUGUCCCUCAAGCCACACUACCCUAGUGUUCUUUCCUCAUAAGAACGUAAACUCCUUGCAGGCAGGGGCUGUUUCCCUUUCUACUGGUAUUUGUAUUCCCAAAUACAAAUGUAUGGUGCCUGACACACAGCAAACAUUUAAUAAAUGCUUGUUGACUAUAACUGUUCAUUUUCCAAUCCAGCUACUCCUGUCCAUGAAUUAGCCAGCUCAGAUGCCACUUUUCUUCCCUACAUCACUCACAGACUGAAAUAAUUUCUCUCUCCUUUGAACUCCCGAAAAACUUUUAUUUCUCUUCCUUCAUUAUCACAUUCUGCCUUGUGUUAUUAGUACAUGUCUUCUCUCCCCUAAUAAUCUAUAAGCAUUGUGAAAGCAGGAACGAGGUCAGAGUCACGUUUUAGCAGUCUUACACUGCUCCUGACCAUAUAAUUAGGAAAGCUUGGCUCCAAACGCUAGUUCAACGACUUGCCACAAAGACAACGGCACAGUGAGGGCUAGAAGUCGUCUCCUGGCGUUGAGCUCACAAGCUCUUUGUCCAGCCCCUGCCCUCAUACUAGGAAACUUCCACAUCCACCCUGACACUCCCCUCACAUCUCCUCAAUUUACUUAUGGCUUACACCUGCCCUCCACCUCCACCAUAAUGGUAACACCACUGAUCUUGCCAUCACUCACAAAUGUACCAUGUCCGUGGUCAUGAACUCUGAAAUUCCCUUAUGAGAUCACAAUCUACUCUUAUUCCACCUUUCCCUUGCAACCACAAACUGUUCCUCAUCAACCAGUGACCUCCAAUCCUUCAACCUAUCCAUCAAGUCCUUUCCAGGCCAACAAUCCUAUACUAGGUAUACCAGCAUCCCUUCAUCUUGACCCCUUGGUGAACCAAGUCAACUCUAGACUGUCCUCUUUUUUCUCCAGGUUCAUUCAGUAGUACAUAUAUUAGAUCAAAGGCAGCAGAUGGGAGUUAUCCAAGACUGAGGUUUAGCAAGACAAGAUGGGCCAUAAGGGUUAAGAUAAUUACUCAUCACUGGUCAUUUGCUAAGCUUUCCACUCCUUGAUCUGCUGUUAACAUUCUAUGUAAACUGAGGUCACUGGUGAUUAAAGCAUUGGGAGGCCACAACGAAGAGCCCUGCCUGCACUUGGGGCUGAAAGUCUCAGCUCACACAUUUGAUUCACUGGGCAUUCUGAGAUCAGAAAUUGAAUUCUUAAAGAAAAAGACUAUUUCAACAAGUUGUUUAAGCAGCCCAGUGAGAUUCUGAACUUGCAUAGCAGACUUACUAUGAGGUAAUCAUGAUGACUCAUUAUUUAAGAACCAAGUUUUUCUUCUGAAUCACUAAUAAUUACACGACACAUGGCAGAAGAUAAUAUUGGAUCUCCAUAUCUAACAACAGAAGUAUUAAAUCACUAUUCUAUUAUUAUAUGUGUUUAU